This is a long non-coding RNA of Drosophila novamexicana, 570 nucleotides long. RefSeq lists it as uncharacterized. Lineage: Eukaryota; Metazoa; Arthropoda; Insecta; Diptera; Drosophilidae. The record is from RefSeq and is a predicted model, not a curated record. The transcript is spliced from 3 exons.
AAAUUACGUGUCCUCUAUUCGCCUACAACUUUGGUCACACUUUCAAAACUCAAAAACUUCGUCGUAUUAUUUCUGCUCGUAAUUUUCAUCGAAUCACCUAUUACAAAUAGCACAACAGGCUCGUGCCUGCCUUUUGUAAUUCAAUAAUGAUUACACGCUUUGGUCACACUCUAUUUUGGAAUUGUGCCCACAGGAAAAUAUCCCGCAGAAGCUUCGACUACGUGUCAUGUGCGAAAAAACGGAAACACGUGCACAUCUCUAAGACAAAAUGGCAGCCAGAUAAUAUUACAUCGUAAGUACAAGGUCAGAGCACAGAAAAAGUGGAUUUAAAAAAACUGAACUUCGAUUUGAAAUAAAUCAAGUGCUUAAAACGACAUUCCACAAGGAAAUUAGUUGCGGAGCAAUUGUAAGAUUCCUACAAUAUUACCAUAUUGUAGGAGCAAGACGAAGAGCUUAGGCAUAAAAUAAUAAGAAAAAAUUACAUAUUCUAAUUGAACAAGCAAAAUGAGUCGUUAUCGAAAUCGAAAGCAGACCCGAUUGAGAAAAAGUACGCUAAAAAUAUAUAUGAAC